CGGCUCCUGAAGGAUAAAGCAGAGUAGACCCAGAUCGUUUCUAUAGGAGAAUCGAUUUUCGAUUGCAUUAAUCGGUAGAACAUGUUGACGAAAUGAGACAAAUUUAAGGUUUCUUUGUGGAUUUCAUCUAGGAGUUGUUGCAUUGAUUGGUGGAGUGCGAGGCCAUAAUUUUCCCCGAUAAGAAGACUGGGUUUUGGAGACGAAGCCAUGCUGAUUCUUGAAAAUUUAGGAAUCCGACU
Molecule: unclassified non-coding RNA, 239 nt
Filed under: Hevea brasiliensis (rubber tree)
Lineage: Eukaryota; Viridiplantae; Streptophyta; Magnoliopsida; Malpighiales; Euphorbiaceae
Source: RNAcentral